UUGGUCAGUUUCCUAUGUUAGUCAGGUUGUUCGUCAGUUUCCUACUUGGUUAUGCUGUUGAUCAGUUUUCUAGUUGGUUAUGUUGCUAGUCAGUUUCCUAGUUUGGUUAAGCAUUCCAUAAAUCAUGGGGAUUCAGCCUAGGUUUUCUUCCUUUUUGGGGCCCGGGGUGUUUAUAUAUAACCAGCAAUCGUUCUAUGAAUUGACAAGACAUGUUUGGUUUUUGUCAGAUUUC
This 232-nucleotide long non-coding RNA is filed under the name Spirodela polyrhiza (greater duckweed). Its description in RNAcentral is "long non-coding RNA (SPOL_LNC002241)". The record is from RNAcentral. Lineage: Eukaryota; Viridiplantae; Streptophyta; Magnoliopsida; Alismatales; Araceae.